RNAcentral lists this ribosomal RNA (1016 nucleotides) under uncultured bacterium. RNAcentral describes it as "bacterial SSU rRNA". It matches the Rfam family "Bacterial small subunit ribosomal RNA", at positions 357 to 1376 of the family's 1533-position model. The record is from RNAcentral.
AGGAAUAUUGGUCAAUGGGCGCAGGCCUGAACCAGCCAAGUAGCGUGAAGGAUGACUGCCCUAUGGGUUGUAAACUUCUUUUAUAAAGGAAUAAAGUCGGGUAUGUAUACCCGUUUGCAUGUACUUUAUGAAUAAGGAUCGGCUAACUCCGUGCCAGCAGCCGCGGUAAUACGGAGGAUCCGAGCGUUAUCCGGAUUUAUUGGGUUUAAAGGGAGCGUAGAUGGAUGUUUAAGUCAGUUGUGAAAGUUUGCGGCUCAACCGUAAAAUUGCAGUUGAUACUGGAUAUCUUGAGUGCAGUUGAGGCAGGCGGAAUUCGUGGUGUAGCGGUGAAAUGCUUAGAUAUCACGAAGAACUCCGAUUGCGAAGGCAGCCUGCUAAGCUGCAACUGACAUUGAGGCUCGAAAGUGUGGGUAUCAAACAGGAUUAGAUACCCUGGUAGUCCACACGGUAAACGAUGAAUACUCGCUGUUUGCGAUAUACUGCAAGCGGCCAAGCGAAAGCGUUAAGUAUUCCACCUGGGGAGUACGCCGGCAACGGUGAAACUCAAAGGAAUUGACGGGGGCCCGCACAAGCGGAGGAACAUGUGGUUUAAUUCGAUGAUACGCGAGGAACCUUACCCGGGCUUAAAUUGCAGAUGAAUUACGGUGAAAGCCGUAAGCCGCAAGGCAUCUGUGAAGGUGCUGCAUGGUUGUCGUCAGCUCGUGCCGUGAGGUGUCGGCUUAAGUGCCAUAACGAGCGCAACCCUUGUUGUCAGUUACUAACAGGUUUUGCUGAGGACUCUGACAAGACUGCCAUCGUAAGAUGUGAGGAAGGUGGGGAUGACGUCAAAUCAGCACGGCCCUUACGUCCGGGGCUACACACGUGUUACAAUGGGGGGUACAGAGGGCCGCUACCACGCGAGUGGAUGCCAAUCCCCAAAACCUCUCUCAGUUCGGACUGGAGUCUGCAACCCGACUCCACGAAGCUGGAUUCGCUAGUAAUCGCGCAUCAGCCACGGCGCGGUGAAUACGUUCCCG